RNAcentral lists this ribosomal RNA (803 nucleotides) under Vibrio splendidus. RNAcentral describes it as "bacterial LSU rRNA". It matches the Rfam family "Bacterial large subunit ribosomal RNA", at positions 1046 to 1832 of the family's 2925-position model. Lineage: Bacteria; Pseudomonadati; Pseudomonadota; Gammaproteobacteria; Vibrionales; Vibrionaceae. The record is from RNAcentral.
UCCCAAAGUAUAGCUAAGUGGGAAACGAUGUGGGAAGGCUCAGACAGCCAGGAUGUUGGCUUAGAAGCAGCCAUCAUUUAAAGAAAGCGUAAUAGCUCACUGGUCGAGUCGGCCUGCGCGGAAGAUGUAACGGGGCUAAGCUAUACACCGAAGCUGCGGCUACGUACCUUAGGGUAUGUGGGGUAGGGGAGCGUUCUGUAAGCCGUUGAAGGUGKKCUGUAAGGSMURCUGGAGGUAUCAGAAGUGCGAAUGCUGACAUGAGUAACGAUAAAGGGAGUGAAAAACUCCCUCGCCGGAAGACCAAGGGUUCCUGUCCAACGUUAAUCGGGGCAGGGUAAGUCGACUCCUAAGGCGAGGCCGAAAGGCGUAGUCGAUGGGAAACGGGUUAAUAUUCCCGUACUUCUUACAAUUGCGAUGGGGGGACGGAGAAGGCUAGGUGGGCCUGGCGACGGUUGUCCAGGUUCAAGUAUGUAGGCGGGUGGUUUAGGUAAAUCCGGACCACUACUAACGCUGAGAUACGAUGUCGAGCUACUACGGUAGUGAAGUCAUUGAUGCCAUGCUUCCAGGAAAAGCCUCUAAGCUUCAGAUUGUAAGGAAUCGUACCCCAAACCGACACAGGUGGUCGGGUAGAGAAUACCAAGGCGCUUGAGAGAACUCGGGUGAAGGAACUAGGCAAAAUGGUACCGUAACUUCGGGAGAAGGUACGCUCUUAUCAGUGAAGUCCCUUGCGGAUGGAGCAGACGAGAGUCGCAGAUACCAGGUGGCUGCAACUGUUUAUUAAAAACACAGCACUGUGCAAAAUC